Molecule: non-coding RNA, 5717 nt
Organism: Durio zibethinus
Lineage: Eukaryota; Viridiplantae; Streptophyta; Magnoliopsida; Malvales; Malvaceae
Source: RefSeq, a predicted model, not a curated record
UUUUUCCAUUUCUUCUAUUUUCUCCUCUCUUCUUCUCUGUCUGGCAGAGAUUCCAUUACCGUCCCCUUCCUCUCAUUAAAUUUCCUUUUUUUUUUUAAAACCCUCAAAUGAACAAACUUUUUCAACGUCAAAUAUCACGCCUCCACAAUCCCUUGUUCUUGCAACCAAACACCCCCCUCUGUUUCAUUUUCUCUGACUAUCACCGCAAAAACCUUCUCUUUUGUCACCAUUUCUGCCCAAUCUUUUCCUUUUGCAUUUGCCCUUUCGUCCUUUUUCACUUGUCCUUUUGAUUUGCUGACACUUCCCAAUAUCCAGGAUUGGUGCAGUUUCUAUUUAGGGUUUUUGAUUAUCUCAUCGCCCCAUUGUUUCCCCAUUUGCUCGUUGUUACUGCUAAUUUUUUGAUUUCUAGAGUUUUUUUAAUCUGGGUUUUGUAGAUUUUCUUGAUAAAAGAAGAAAUUUCAUUUUUUAAUCAUUUUCUCUUGGAAAUUUGUUGGAAUAUUGGCAGUUUUUGAUUUACUUGCUAUUUUAUUACUUCAGAAACUAUCAUACCCAUCCAGGGUUGUUCUCUGAUUGAUCGAAAAGAAACCCUAACUGAAACUAAUUACAAAGUUUUUUUUUUAUUAUUUUGAAAUUUAUUUUCUUUGUUUUUGGUUGGGUUGUGGCGGUUGGGUGGGUUUAGAAAGUUGUUAGAGAGGAAGAGUGGUUAAGGAUUGUAUGGGAGAGCAUGAAGGGUGGGCGGCGCAGCAGCCACCGAGCGGCCUAUGGCCGAACGGUUUGUUACCAAACGAAACCACCUCGGUGGUUAGGAUACUUGACUCGGAGCGAUGGAUGAAGGCUGAGGAAAGAACCGCUGACCUCAUUGCCUGUAUACAGCCCAAUGCACCCUCGGAAGUUCGCCGGAAUGCUGUUGCCGAUUAUGUCCAGCGCCUCAUCUCCAAAUGCUUCCCUUGUCAGGUGUUUACUUUUGGGUCUGUGCCGCUCAAGACAUACUUGCCUGAUGGGGAUAUUGACUUGACGGCCUUUAGUAAGAAUCAAAUUUUGAAGGAUACUUGGGUUCAUCAGGUUCGUGAUAUGCUGGAAAAUGAAGAAAAAAAUGAGAAUGCUGAAUUCCUAGUAAAAGAAGUUCAGUACAUUCAGGCUGAGGUGAAGAUAAUAAAGUGUCUUGUAGAAAAUAUCGUGGUAGACAUUUCAUUUAAUCAGCUUGGUGGAUUAUGUACCCUUUGUUUCCUUGAAGAGGUUGAUCGUUUGAUAAAUCAGAAUCAUUUGUUCAAACGUAGUAUCAUAUUGAUAAAGGCAUGGUGUUAUUAUGAGAGUCGUAUAUUGGGUGCUCAUCAUGGACUUAUCUCAACUUAUGCCCUGGAAACCUUGGUUCUUUACAUAUUCCAUGUUUUUAAUAAGUCCUUUUCUGGACCACUUGAGGUCCUGUAUCGUUUUCUUGAGUUCUUUAGCAAGUUUGAUUGGGAAAAUUUUUGUGUUAGCCUCUGGGGUCCUGUUCCAAUUAGUUCGCUGCCAGACGUAACUGCAUAUCCUCCUCGAAGAGAUGGCGGGGAGUUGUUACUUAGCAAAUAUUUUCUUGAUACUUGUAGUUCAAGAUAUACUGUUUGCCAAGAAAAUCAGGGCCAACUCUUUGUUUCUAAACAUUUCAAUGUGAUCGAUCCUCUGCGUAUAAAUAACAAUCUUGGACGUAGUGUUAGUAAAGGUAAUUUCAUUAGGAUAUGCAGUGCAUUUGCAUUUGGGGCUAAAAAGUUGGACAGAUUACUUGAUUGUCCCAAAGAGGACCUGUACUAUGAAGUAAAUCAAUUCUUUAUGAAUACAUGGGAAAGGCAUGGCAGUGGCCAACGUCCUGAUGCACCGAGUAAUGAUCUGUGGCAUUUGAGAUUGUCAAAUUCGGACCACAAUCAUGGGUCUAAGAAUGUCAGGAACAAUUCAAGCAGCAAAGGAAAUGGUAUUUCCUCUGGGUGUGAAUCUCAAGCUGAAGGAGCUCAAGGAUCAUCUGGUGUUUCCUCACAGCAUGUUAAUUAUCCAUUGGAAAGCAUAACUAAGAUUAAUGAUGUAUCUACUGUCUCUCGUACUCAAAGCCAAAAGAGUUAUGGUAGCAUGAGCAACUCAAAGACAUUUGAUCAGGUUAGAAGGGACACUAAUUCCAAUCAGAAUGUGCAUAAUGAUGCAGGUCACAGAAUUUCCAAAGCAGAGAAUUUGGUGACUGAUGUUCAAGGUAGAUAUCUUUUUGCAAGGACGCGUUCCAGUCCUGAGCUUACUGAAACAUAUGGGGAAGCUACUUCUCAAGGAAGGCGGAACAGAGUGCCAGAGAUUGGGAAAACCCAGAUUGGUUCUAUGAGGUUGGAUAACAACGAGAGGAAGAAUAUGAAAUUUGAUAUGGUGGCAAACCAUAACAUUAAUUCUUCAUGUGAUGAUCCUUCAUCUAUUAGGCAAGCUUCAACCUGUCAAAGCAUUGAUGAUGAUGCUGAUCCAAACAAUUUUCUAAAUAGUUACCAAGAUGAUUUAGGCUUGGGAACUAUAGGUCAGGGCUUCUCUUCAAUUCCAGCCACACAAGGAAUGCAUCAAGAAGAGCAAGAUCUAGUGAACAUGAUGGCAUCUUCUACAGCUAAUGGCUUUAAUGGUCAGGUUCCUCUUCCUCUUAAUUUUGCUGCAGGUCACUUACCUUUUCCUAUCCAUUCUCUAUCAAUGGGAUACGAUCAGAGAAAUUUGGGCGGAAGUGUUCCUUCAAAUAUUCAAAUGUUUCCCCAAGGAUUGGUCUCUUCUCCUUUGGCUCAUUAUAUUUCUGGCAUUGGAUUAGCCUCGAAUUCAGAGGAUCCAAUUGAGCCAGGUAGUGAAAAUUUUGGAUUUCCAGAAAUGAACGCAGGGGAAGUGGAACAUGAGUUAUGGCAUGAACAAGACAGGGGCUCUAGUGGUGGUUUUGAUCUUGAUAAUGGAAGUUUUGAAAUGCUUCACUCAGAUGAUAAGCAACUUUCAACUUCAGCUGGCUAUAAUGUUGUUCCUUCAUCUAGGGUAGGUAGCUCUGGUAGUUCUACCAAAGUCCAACAGAAGUUUACUAAAGAAGCUCGAGGAUCAAGUAGGGAAGAUCAUCUAGAUGUUUGCCAAUAUCAAGAUAACAGAGGUAAUGAUAUUCACUUUGAUGAAAGAACUGCAAGUUCUAGAUCCAUACCUGCUUCACAUACUAGUUCACUCAGAAGUAAAACCUCAUCAGAAAGUUCUUUGGAAGGAUCAUUAGCAAAGGUCUCUAAGCCAGCUAGGGAGAAACGGGGUAGGAAAACAGCUGCUGCUACGCUUCCUUCUGCUGCAUGUGGGAAAGGUAAGAGUGUAUCUGAACAUUCUUCUCAGGCAGGUGACGAUGGCAGAGACUGGAAUCCACCAUCAAUGGUGGGCACUGAAAUGGAAGAAAGAACUACUGGACCUCAAACAGUUGGUUCUUUGCCUGUUCCAAGGCAUCAAAUGCCUGGAUUUGAGGCAGCUCAGGCAAGUGGAUCAGAUCCACUGAUACCCAUCGCUCCAUUCCUCUUAGGUCCCAGUGCAGGGCAAAGAACUAUGGAUAAUUCUGGAGUUCCUACCUUGGCCUUCACGAUAACAGGGCCACCUGUUUCAUUUUUGUUGUGCCCUGUGUACAACAUUCCAGCAGAAACAGGAACUUCAGAUGUAUCAGCAAGCCAUUUUAGUUGGGAUGAAGGUUUGGAUAACAAUAAUUCUGGUCAAAAUUUUGAAUCAUCUGAGGGACUUGAUCAGUCUGAGGUGUCAAGUACUUCUAGUUCUAUGAGAAAGGUUACAUCUCUUGAGCCAUCAGAGCAUAAAUCUGACAUUCUUAAUGGUGACAUUGCUAGCCAUUGGCAAAACCUGCAGUAUGGCCGGUUUUGCCAAAAUUCACGACAUCCUCCACCUUUGGUUUAUCCUUCACCUGUUGUGGUGCCACCUGUCUAUAUACAAGGUCAUUUCCCAUGGGAUUGUCACGGGAGACCUCUUUCAUCCAACAUGAAUAUCUUUUCUCAAUUUGUGAAUUAUGGGCCUUGUAUUGUUCCUGUUACUUCCCUCCAAUCUGUUUCAAAUAGACCUCCCGGUGUAUACCAACAGUAUGUUGAUGAAAUGCCAAGAUAUCGCAGUGGUACUGGGACAUACCUGCCAAACCCUAAAGUCUCAAUGAGAGAACGCCAUUAUGCAAAUUCAAGGAGAGGAAAAUAUAAUUCUGAUAGAAAUGACCACCAUGGUAAUAGAGAAGGGAACUGGAAUGCCAACCCAAAGUCACGAGCUGCUGGCCGCAGCCAUAGUCGCAACCAAAAUGAAAAAUCAAGGUUCACGUUUGAUCAAGUGACAGCUGUUGCUGGUCAGAGCAGAGCCGAGAGGCCUUGGGGCUCACGUAGACAUAAUUCAUUUACUUCAUACCAGUCUCAUAAUGGACCAAUCAGCUCAAACUCUUCAGAAAGUAGUUCUGCCUGCAUGCCAUAUGGCAUGUACCCACUGCCAGCCAUGAAUCCCAGUGGGGUGUCGUCUAAUGGACCUACUAUUCCGUCUGUUGUCAUGCUGUAUCCCUAUGAUCAUAAUUCUGGUUAUAGUUCCCCUUCUGAACAGCUUGAGUUUGGCUCUCUUGGACCAGUGGGUUUCUCAGGCAUGAAUGAAGUAUCACAGCUAAGUGAUGGAAGCAGCUCUGCUGGGGUAUUUGACGAGCAAAGGUUUCAUGGUACCUCUACUCAACAAUCUUCACCAGACCCACCUUCCUCACCCCACCUCCGAAGGUAAUUUGUCUUGUUUAUCUGAGGUAGUUUCUUUAUAAGAAUUACCAAAAGCAGUCAGCCCGAAAAGUACCCUGCAUCUAUACUAUUGUCGAACUGCCAUUGCUGGUCUAGCAAUAGAGUUGAUGGUUGAGUAAUUUCUGUGGGCCAACUCGAAUGAGCUGCAUGGAAAUGGCUGCCUGCUCCCCACCCUCUUCCAGGCUGGUGUUCUCAUAUUUCUGCAGGGGACUUUGAUUUUAUUGCCAGAUCAGUGGCCCAGAAGGAUUACAAUUGAAAGAUGAGGAUUCCCCACCCCUUGCUUUUCCAUUUGAGGGAAGAAAUGAUGGUGGGGGUACCUACAAUGAGAAAACCUCCCCUUUCCGGGCUUUUUUGUGCUCAUCUCACUCAUUAAAGCAAGAUUCAGUGAUUUUUUCUUACAAGAUGGUCGCUCAUGCUUCCUGCCUUGUGCUUGUAUGUGCACUAUGAAUGAUGAAAAUCAUUUUAUGAAAGUUCUCUGAUUUUGAGGAUAUCAUAGAGUAAUGGUGAAAUAUAUGCAGGAGUCAAAGGUUAAGAGUUUAAAUUUAGGGUUCUACACAUUGUAACUGAAAUAGGAUCUCUUUAGGAUUAUAACUGAAAUAGGGUUUUUUCAUUUUUUUUUUUCUACUUUAUAAUUUCAGUCUACUAGCUCUCUUUUGUUAACCUUCUUGUUGAAAGUUACCAGUGUAUUGAUAGCAUUUACAUGGUAAAAAAUGAAGUUACAGAAACAGAAACUAGGUGUUUUCAUGGUUGUUUCAUCUUUCAUGGCAUUUAUUUUUAGUAGUUAGAUUAUCAAGAUUUGAACUAUGAUCACCAAAUCAAUCGAUGAUGUGAAUAUGGACUAUGAUCACCAAACUGUCCUUGUCUAGUACUUAAAAAUACAAAAUUUGUCUCGAAGAUAUGAAUGAAGUCUGUUAGUAUCUUUGAUCGGCUGUUCGUGAAUAUGUUUAAUUUUUGCUUUUA